Molecule: long non-coding RNA, 1732 nt
Organism: Halichondria panicea
Lineage: Eukaryota; Metazoa; Porifera; Demospongiae; Suberitida; Halichondriidae
Exons: 6
Source: RefSeq, a predicted model, not a curated record
UUUUCCUGUGUUUCGAUUAGUACUUUUAGUUCUCGAAAACUUCUGCUGAUUACUGUCUCCAUAAUAUGGCUCAACCUUACGUCAGUGGCCUUCACCCGUUCCAAAAUUUCCUGCUGCUUGCUUGCAAUAAGUGUAACACUAUCUAUUAUUAUGCAUUGCAAUGUCAGAUAGACGUGACUAAAAAAUGUUAUACUCACUUUCAGCAAGAGUAGAUAUUUGCUCUGACUGAGACCUCCGUGAUUGCACAUCACUGAGCCCUGUAUAUAAUAGCAAAACAUCAGUAAAUAGCAUGAUUUAUAUAGUUUACCAUCUCCACUGCUUCUUCUCUGAGCCAGCACAUCGACGGUAGCAUCAUCCCCAUUACCGGAUGCACCUCCAUCAGUACGACUUGGCACUGAACCACCUGCAACAUGUAGGAUGAGCAAUUUUUCAGAUUAUAGGUCAUUAAUAUAACUUAAUCAAACUCACUCCUGUGGGGGGUUCUGAGUGUUGUAACAGGACGGGGAGUGUUCCAUGAGCUUGUACUUAUUCUACCUCGUGCAGAUAGCAAGCGAGACAUGAUCACAUCGAUCUAAUAGAGUCAAAUCUCAUGAAUUUGUCAGCGGAUCUCUUCUUCCAGUCUCGGUCACUGCGCAAUGGUGGCCAAUGUGCGCGCUCACGUGGAUAGAUCUAAGGCACGUGAAUUCUUAUUUUUGAAUAAAGAAGUAAAGCACUUUUGUUGAGGUUCCCCUUAAUUGCAGCUUGGAAGGUUCAAUUAACACAAUAUGGCAACAUCAAUAGGUACAUACAAUGUGUCUAAUACUCUGUAUUAAUUAUCAUAAUUACUAAGGUGCAAAUUGGUGCGAAGUGUGCCAAAUAGACUGCUCAUUUAAGUCUCGUUAUGAGAGGCAUCUAAAGACAAUGAAGCACAAGCAUCAAGCUUCAAUUCAUUCCUUAAUGGCGGAUGUUGAUGAUGGUGGUAUCCAGGAUGACUCGGACGAUCAGGGAGGGCAUGUAGAAUGUGAUGAUGACUUUCAGGUUCUACCUGAUGAAGAUUAUAACGAUGAUGACGAUGAUGGUGAGGAUACAGAGGAUGAGUUAUAUGACACACUGCAAGAUACUAUUCAAGUUGUGUGCAAUGCUUCAUCGUCCUCUGAUUCGUAUUCUCCAUUCCCAUCGAAACAACAUGCUUUACUCUAUCUUUUGCUUCACUGUCCACGACCGAUUGUGAGUUGUUUGUAAGCAUCUACCAUUGUACUUGUUAUGUGUUAUAGGGAGAAACAAACUUAAAAUUCGUUUGGUUUGCAAUGAUUCAGAAGCAGAUGAACCCUUGUUUGCCAUCGAUACAUCAAAUAAAGCAACUUGUUUUGCCUGUUUUUGAGCCCCCAACGAAGUAUUAUUCAUCUGAUGGGACACCCUUUUAUGCAAAUUCAAUGAUGGCAACAAUACGUCAUUGCUUCGCUAAUCCAUUGUUUGCAAGUGUAGUCCAGAGGUAUCCAGUUCAGCCUGACAUGGAGUUGAUGGAAAUGUAUCAUGGAGAGCGCUGGAGAACAGACCCAAAACUUCAAACCCCUAUGGCUGUUUUGCCUGUGGGUCACGUGUUUGUCAACGACUUUGUUAUAGUCUCACAUCCACACUUUGGAAGUAUAUGUGUGAAGGUUCACAGAUUUUACUGCAAGGGUUCUGAGUUGCAUAUCCAAGCACAUAUAUUGCUUACAUGCACUGGACCAAUUAAAAAUAGCAUUCACAUCAG